This 349-nucleotide small nuclear RNA is filed under the name Castor canadensis (American beaver). RNAcentral's name for it is "7SK RNA (ENSCCNG00000026662.1)". The stretch from base 1 to 300 matches the Rfam family "7SK RNA". Rfam says of the family: 7SK was discovered as an abundant small nuclear RNA in the mid-70s but a possible function has only recently been suggested. The record is from RNAcentral. Lineage: Eukaryota; Metazoa; Chordata; Mammalia; Rodentia; Castoridae.
GAAUGUGAGGACAAUCUGGCUGUGCCAUCUGUCAUCCCACCGAUUACCAGGGUUGAUUUGGCUGAUCUGAGUGGCUGGGCAGAUGUCCCCUCUCUCCCUCACUACUCCAAGUACGUCCUUCCAGAAGCUGUGUGCUGACUCAAAGAGGGCAACCUUCCCCUGUAGAAGAGGACUGUUCUUCCGUCAAGGAUAUAUAAGUAGCUGCACUCCCCUGCUAGAACCUCCAAACAAGCUCUCAAGAGGAUGUAGUGUCAGGAACCUGGAGAACAUGCCCUUCAAUGGGAUGCAUGGUGCAUAAGUCAGGGUAACCACCAGGAAGUACUGCUGCUCCUGGAAGGAACUAAGAUCC